This 65-nucleotide transfer RNA is filed under the name Platycnemis phyllopoda. Its description in RNAcentral is "tRNA-Phe". It matches the Rfam family "tRNA". Rfam says of the family: Transfer RNA (tRNA) molecules are approximately 80 nucleotides in length. The record is from RNAcentral. Lineage: Eukaryota; Metazoa; Arthropoda; Insecta; Odonata; Platycnemididae.
GUUUCAAUAGCUUAAUUUAAAGCCUUACAUUGAAGCUGUAAUGAUGAUGUAUUUAUCUUGAGACA